This 650-nucleotide ribosomal RNA is filed under the name Sinomonas sp. ErII_B1.4. RNAcentral's name for it is "bacterial SSU rRNA". It matches the Rfam family "Bacterial small subunit ribosomal RNA", at positions 584 to 1233 of the family's 1533-position model. Lineage: Bacteria; Bacillati; Actinomycetota; Actinomycetes; Micrococcales; Micrococcaceae. The record is from RNAcentral.
CGCGUCUGCUGUGAAAGCCCGGGGCUCAACCCCGGGUCUGCAGUGGGUACGGGCAGGCUGGAGUGCAGUAGGGGAGACUGGAAUUCCUGGUGUAGCGGUGAAAUGCGCAGAUAUCAGGAGGAACACCGAUGGCGAAGGCAGGUCUCUGGGCUGUAACUGACGCUGAGGAGCGAAAGCAUGGGGAGCGAACAGGAUUAGAUACCCUGGUAGUCCAUGCCGUAAACGUUGGGCACUAGGUGUGGGGGCCAUUCCACGGUUUCCGCGCCGCAGCUAACGCAUUAAGUGCCCCGCCUGGGGAGUACGGCCGCAAGGCUAAAACUCAAAGGAAUUGACGGGGGCCCGCACAAGCGGCGGAGCAUGCGGAUUAAUUCGAUGCAACGCGAAGAACCUUACCAAGGCUUGACAUGUGCCGGACCGUCCCAGAGAUGGGGCUUCCCUUCGGGGCCGGUUCACAGGUGGUGCAUGGUUGUCGUCAGCUCGUGUCGUGAGAUGUUGGGUUAAGUCCCGCAACGAGCGCAACCCUCGUUCCAUGUUGCCAGCACUUCGGGUGGGGACUCAUGGGAGACUGCCGGGGUCAACUCGGAGGAAGGUGGGGACGACGUCAAAUCAUCAUGCCCCUUAUGUCUUGGGCUUCACGCAUGCUACAAUGG